AGCUCCUUGUACCCAGGCCCAGAUGCCUUAAUGGGGGCAUUUGAAAUUUUGCGGGACAAGCCCCCCAAAGACCACAUGGGCCUAUCGAUUUGCGCCUUCCUCCUGUGUUUUCCCAUAGGCAUUGUAGCCUUGAUCUUCUCUGUCCAGACAAGGCACAGCAACAUGUGGAAUAACAGAGCCUUGGCAGCCGAGACCUCCCACCAAACCUACUACAUUGCAGUCUUGGGGAUUGUUUUAGGAAGCCUCAUCACCCUCACCAUCUUGAUACUCCUCAUGAUGGACUUAUUUGCUCGUUAACCUCCUUUUCAGCAAACUACCAAAUAUAUACA
Long non-coding RNA from Lontra canadensis (Northern American river otter), 329 nucleotides. RefSeq lists it as uncharacterized. The transcript has 3 exons. The record is from RefSeq and is a predicted model, not a curated record. NCBI's taxonomy places the organism in Eukaryota, Metazoa, Chordata, Mammalia, Carnivora, Mustelidae.